Drosophila montana is the source of this 448-nucleotide long non-coding RNA. RefSeq lists it as uncharacterized. NCBI's taxonomy places the organism in Eukaryota, Metazoa, Arthropoda, Insecta, Diptera, Drosophilidae. The transcript is spliced from 2 exons. The record is from RefSeq and is a predicted model, not a curated record.
UAGUGCACGUUUUGUGCGACCACAAGAAAUUCUUUUGGCUGUCUCUCGGUCGGUCUGUCGGUCGGUCGGUCGGGAGUGCAUUGGCUGUCAUUUGAUUGUCGAGGUUUUGCAUUACAAUUAUUCGAGUGCCUGCUGAAAUAGUCAAGGCAACAGCAACAGCAGCAACAACAAAUGCAGCAGCAGCAACAACAAUGACACAGCAAGGUGUAAGCCAACACUUUUGACGACGCUGGCAAAUAUUUUAUGCAUGAAAUUUCAAGCUCAAAUCUCAGCUCAUGGCGUUGCCAUCAGCCAUCAGCCAGCAGCAGCAGCAGCUGUUGGUUGGCGUUGCCAGCUCGAGUGCAGAAAGCUAAUUGCGCCGUUGUUUAGAUUUCUUCUUGUCGAUUUCGAACAGGAUGUUGCUCAUUAUUUAUGCAUUGCUGGCCAAUAAAGUUUAUAUUCCCGCCUA